AUUGAACGCUGGCGGCAUGCUUUACACAUGCAAGUCGAACGGUAACAGGCCGCCAGGUGCUGCCGAGUGGCGAACGGGUGCGUAAUGCAUCGGAACGUGCCCAGUCGUGGGGGAUAACUACUCGAAAGAGUAGCUAAUACCGCAUACGAUCUAUGGAUGAAAGCGGGGGACCGUAAGGCCUCGCGCGAUUGGAGCGGCCGAUGUCAGAUUAGGUAGUUGGUGGGGUAAAGGCUCACCAAGCCAACGAUCUGUAGCUGGUCUGAGAGGACGACCAGCCACACUGGGACUGAGACACGGCCCAGACUCCUACGGGAGGCAGCAGUGGGGAAUUUUGGACAAUGGGCGCAAGCCUGAUCCAGCAAUGCCGCGUGCAGGAAGAAGGCCUUCGGGUUGUAAACUGCUUUUGUACGGAACGAAACGGCUCUGGUUAAUACCCGGGGCUAAUGACGGUACCGUAAGAAUAAGCACCGGCUAACUACGUG
Molecule: ribosomal RNA, 482 nt
Filed under: uncultured bacterium
Lineage: Bacteria
Description: partial 16S ribosomal RNA
Rfam family: Bacterial small subunit ribosomal RNA
Source: RNAcentral